Molecule: ribosomal RNA, 464 nt
Filed under: Vreelandella stevensii
Lineage: Bacteria; Pseudomonadati; Pseudomonadota; Gammaproteobacteria; Oceanospirillales; Halomonadaceae
Description: partial 16S ribosomal RNA
Rfam family: Bacterial small subunit ribosomal RNA
Source: RNAcentral
CUACGGGCGGCAGCAGUGGGGAAUAUUGGACAAUGGGCGAAAGCCUGAUCCAGCCAUGCCGCGUGUGUGAAGAAGGCCUUCGGGUUGUAAAGCACUUUCAGUGGGGAAGAAAGCCUUGGGGCUAAUACCCUCGAGGAAGGACAUCACCCACAGAAGAAGCACCGGCUAACUCCGUGCCAGCAGCCGCGGUAAUACGGAGGGUGCGAGCGUUAAUCGGAAUUACUGGGCGUAAAGCGCGCGUAGGCGGUCUGAUAAGCCGGUUGUGAAAGCCCCGGGCUCAACCUGGGAACGGCAUCCGGAACUGUCAGGCUAGAGUGCAGGAGAGGAAGGUAGAAUUCCCGGUGUAGCGGUGAAACGCGUAGAGAUCGGGAGGAAUACCAGUGGCGAAGGCGGCCUUCUGGACUGACACUGACGCUGAGGUGCGAAAGCGUGGGUAGCAAACAGGAUUAGAUACCCUGGUAGUC